AGUGAACGCUGGCGGUAGGCCUAACACAUGCGAGUCGAACGGCAGCACAGUAAGAGCUUGCUCUUACAGGUGGCGAGUGGCGGACGGGUGAGGAAUACAUCGGAAUCUACUUUUUCGUGGGGGAUAACGUAGGGAAACUUACGCUAAUACCGCAUACGACCUACGGGUGAAAGCAGGGGAUCUUCGGACCUUGCGCGAUUGAAUGAGCCGAUGUCGGAUUAGCUAGUUGGCGGGGUAAAGGCCCACCAAGGCGACGAUCCGUAGCUGGUCUGAGAGGAUGAUCAGCCACACUGGAACUGAGACACGGUCCAGACUCCUACGGGAGGCAGCAGUGGGGAAUAUUGGACAAUGGGCGCAAGCCUGAUCCAGCCAUACCGCGUGGGUGAAGAAGGCCUUCGGGUUGUAAAGCCCUUUUGUUGGGAAAGAAAAGCAGCAGGUUAAUACCCCGCUGUUCUGACGGUACCCAAAGAAUAAGCACCGGCUAACUUCGUG
RNAcentral lists this ribosomal RNA (492 nucleotides) under uncultured bacterium. Its description in RNAcentral is "partial 16S ribosomal RNA". It matches the Rfam family "Bacterial small subunit ribosomal RNA", at positions 29 to 507 of the family's 1533-position model. The record is from RNAcentral.